GCGGAACUGCCGGGACCAGCGCUGGCCCGGGCCGGGCGCAUCCCCACCUGGCCUGGGGCGGGCUGGAGGGGCGGAACUGGGACUCUCGGACUCCGGCUACGUUGGAGAAAGGGUUGGCUGUACCCUGGAGAAGAGGAGAGACUCAAAGGUAGGAGGUGGGCGUCCUCGCAUUGACCCAGUCGGGGGCCACCGAGUGACGGUUUCCGCAGUGGCGGGGUCUGGGAAGAAGCCACGAAGCGAACCGUCCACUUCGCGGGAUCCACAGCGAGGCUGGAAGGCACCCGACCCAGCCUUGCCAAGAGAAAAAAAAAAAACAGCAAUAACAAUACUGUAUUUCCUGUAUUCAGUGGUUGCCUUUCUUCUUGGUUGUGAUUUUCGAGCUAAUGUAAAAAUAAAGACAUGAAAACUUCCCGUUUUGUUAAUUGAUUUUUGACCCAGUGACUGGCCUGUGCGGUCAUUUCACUGUCGAGCCA
This 473-nucleotide long non-coding RNA is filed under the name Homo sapiens (human). RNAcentral describes it as "non-protein coding lnc-PLPPR5-7:3". The record is from RNAcentral. Lineage: Eukaryota; Metazoa; Chordata; Mammalia; Primates; Hominidae.